Canis lupus familiaris (dog) is the source of this 282-nucleotide long non-coding RNA. RefSeq lists it as uncharacterized. The transcript is spliced from 3 exons. The record is from RefSeq and is a predicted model, not a curated record. Lineage: Eukaryota; Metazoa; Chordata; Mammalia; Carnivora; Canidae.
UACUACCGAAUUCCUUCACUCACUUCCUCCCUUCUCUAUUCACUAGAGCUCGCCUUCAGCUCGCUGGGCCGAAAAGAUAAGGACCCAUUUCCUUAGGGGAAUCAGUUCUUGUAACAGUUAAUCGACCUGCUAAGUGCUGAAGCACCCAAGUGCAGCUUUAAAUUCCAGCUUUUCUCUGCCAACUGUAGAUGCUCCUUAACUGACCGUGACCAGUCGAAGCUGUGGUGUUGUCUUCAGAAAGCCACUGUAAGACUCCUGGAAUGUCAUCUAUGUGAGAACAGA